Molecule: ribosomal RNA, 400 nt
Filed under: uncultured bacterium
Lineage: Bacteria
Description: bacterial SSU rRNA
Rfam family: Bacterial small subunit ribosomal RNA
Source: RNAcentral
GAAUAUUGGACAAUGGGCGCAAGCCUGAUCCAGCCAUGCCGCGUGAGUGACGAAGGCCUUAGGGUUGUAAAGCUCUUUUAAUAGGGAAGAUAAUGACGGUACCUAUAGAAUAAGCUCCGGCUAACUUCGUUCCCGCAGCCGCGGUAAUACGAAGGGGGCUAGCGUUGUUCGGAAUUACUGGGCGUAAAGAGUACGUAGGCGGUUUAUUAAGCUAGAUGUGAAAUCCCCGAGCUUAACUCGGGAACUGCAUUUAGAACUGGUAAGCUAGAGAAUGUUAGAGGUUGGUAGAAUUCCUAGUGUAGGGGUGAAAUCCGUAGAUAUUAGGAGGAAUACCGAUGGCGAAGGCAGCCAACUGGGACAUUUCUGACGCUGAGGUACGAAAGCGUGGGUAGCAAACAGG